Molecule: ribosomal RNA, 769 nt
Filed under: uncultured bacterium
Lineage: Bacteria
Description: bacterial SSU rRNA
Rfam family: Bacterial small subunit ribosomal RNA
Source: RNAcentral
AGAGUUUGAUCAUGGCUCAGGAUCAACGCUGGCGGCGUGCAUGAGACAUGCAAGUCAAACGGGUGACUCGGGCUUGCUCGAGUCACUAGUGGCGGACGGCUGAGUAACGCGUGGGUGACCUGCCCCGAAGUGGGGAAUAACUGCCCGAAAGGGUGGCUAAUACCGCAUGUGGUGGUGCGUUCAAUUGCACCAGUAAAGCCGCAAGGCGCUUCGGGAGGGGCCUGCGUCCGAUUAGCUCGUUGGUGGGGUAACGGCUCACCAAGGCGACGAUCGGUAGGUGGUCUGAGAGGACGAUCACCCAGACUGGGACUGAGACACGGCCCAGACUCCUACGGGAGGCAGCAGUCGGGAAUUUUGCGCAAUGGACGAAAGUCUGACGCAGCAACGCCGCGUGAGGGAUGAAGGCCUUCGGGUUGUAAACCUCUUUUCUCAGGGAAGAUAAUGACGGUACCUGAGGAAUAAGCCACGGCUAACUACGUGCCAGCAGCCGCGGUAAUACGUAGGUGGCGAGCGUUGUCCGGAUUUACUGGGCGUAAAGAGCGCGCAGGCGGUCGUGCAAGUCGCGUGUGAAAGCCCCCGGCUCAACUGGGGAGGGUCACGCGAUACUGCUCGACUCGAAGGCAGGAGAGGGAAGUGGAAUUCCCGGUGUAGUGGUGAAAUGCGUAGAUAUCGGGAGGAACACCAGUGGCGAAGGCGACUUCCUGGCCUGUUCUUGACGCUGAGGCGCGAAAGCUAGGGUAGCAAACGGGAUUAGAUACCCUAGUAGUCC